Molecule: ribosomal RNA, 581 nt
Filed under: Papiliotrema aspenensis
Lineage: Eukaryota; Fungi; Basidiomycota; Tremellomycetes; Tremellales; Rhynchogastremaceae
Description: eukaryotic LSU rRNA
Rfam family: Eukaryotic large subunit ribosomal RNA
Source: RNAcentral
CCGGGAAGAGCUCAAUUUGAAAUCUGGCGUCCUCAGGGCGUCCGAGUUGUAAUCUAUAGAGGCGUUUUCCGUGCCGGACCGUGUCCAAGUCCCUUGGAACAGGGUAUCAAAGAGGGUGACAAUCCCGUACUUGACACGACUACCGGUGCUCUGUGAUACGUCUUCUACGAGUCGAGUUGUUUGGGAAUGCAGCUCAAAAUGGGUGGUGAGUUCCAUCUAAAGCUAAAUAUUGGCGAGAGACCGAUAGCGAACAAGUACCGUGAGGGAAAGAUGAAAAGCACUUUGGAAAGAGAGUUAAACAGUACGUGAAAUUGUUGAAAGGGAAACGAUUGAAGUCAGUCGUGACCGAGAGGCUCAGCCGGCUCUGCCGGUGUAUUCCCCUCGGUCGGGUCAACAUCAGUUUUGUCCGGUGGAUAAGGGCGGCAGGAAUGUGGCACCCUCGGGUGUGUUAUAGCCUGCUGUCGCAUACACCGGGUGAGACUGAGGAACGCAGCUCGCCUUUAUGGCCGGGGCCCGCCCACGUACGAGCUUAGGAUGUUGACGUAAUGGCUUUAAACGACCCGUCUUGAAAACACGGGACC